UUGACCUCGGAUCAGGUAGGGAUACCCGCUGAACUUAAGCAUAUCAAUAAGCGGAGGAAAAGAAACCAACAGGGAUUACCUCAGUAACGGCGAGUGAAGCGGUAACAGCUCAAAUUUGAAAGCUGCCAACAGGCCGCGUUGUAAUUUGUAGAAGCUGCUUUGGGUGUCGGCCCGGUCUAAGUUCCUUGGAACAGGACGUCAUAGAGGGUGAGAAUCCCGUAUGUGAUCGGUGCCGUUGCCCGUGUAAAGCGCUUUCGACGAGUCGAGUUGUUUGGGAAUGCAGCUCAAAAUGGGUGGUAAAUUUCAUCUAAAGCUAAAUAUUGGCCAGAGACCGAUAGCGCACAAGUAGAGUGAUCGAAAGAUGAAAAGCACUUUGGAAAGAGAGUUAAACAGUACGUGAAAUUGUUGAAAGGGAAGCGCUUGCAACCAGACUUGCGGGCGGUCGAUCAUCCGAGGUUCUCCCCGGUGCACUCGAUCGUUCUCAGGCCAGCAUCGGUUUCCGGGGUGGGAUAAAGGCGGUGGGAAUGUGGCUCUUCGGAGUGUUAUAGCCCACCGUGCAAUGCCGCCACUGGGGACCGAGGACCGCGCUUCGGCUAGGAUGCUGGCGUAAUGGUUGUAAGCGACCCGUCUUGAAAAC
Molecule: ribosomal RNA, 637 nt
Filed under: Phialocephala fortinii
Lineage: Eukaryota; Fungi; Ascomycota; Leotiomycetes; Helotiales; Mollisiaceae
Description: eukaryotic LSU rRNA
Rfam family: Eukaryotic large subunit ribosomal RNA
Source: RNAcentral